Molecule: unclassified non-coding RNA, 335 nt
Filed under: soil metagenome
Description: partial contains 5.8S ribosomal RNA, internal transcribed spacer 2, and large subunit ribosomal RNA
Rfam family: 5.8S ribosomal RNA (bases 1-120)
Source: RNAcentral
GAUGAAGAACGUAGCGAAAUGCGAUAAGUAAUGUGAAUUGCAGAAUUCAGUGAAUCAUCGAAUCUUUGAACGCACAUUGCGCCCGCCAGUAUUCUGGCGGGCAUGCCUGUUCGAGCGUCAUUUCAACCAUCAAGCCCCCGACUUGUGUUGGGGACCUGCGGCUGCCGCAGGCCCUGAAAACCAGUGGCGGGCUCGCUAGUCACUCCGAGCGUAGUAAUACAUCUCGCUCAGGGCGUGCUGCGGGUUCCGGCCGUUAAAAAGCCUUAUUUACCCAAGGUUGACCUCGGAUCAGGUAGGAAGACCCGCUGAACUUAAGCAUAUCAAUAAGCGGAGGA